This is a long non-coding RNA of Ziziphus jujuba (common jujube), 1284 nucleotides long. RefSeq lists it as uncharacterized. NCBI's taxonomy places the organism in Eukaryota, Viridiplantae, Streptophyta, Magnoliopsida, Rosales, Rhamnaceae. The transcript has 4 exons. The record is from RefSeq and is a predicted model, not a curated record.
UUCAAAUAUCAAAAGGAAAAAAUCAAGAUGAAAAGCUAUUCCAUCCUUCCCCUGACUGGAGCAUGAAGAAGAAGAGGAAGAGAAAGUGAGAGAGAAUGGUGAAGCGGCUUGGGACGACCAGAGAGUUCUUCAGGAGGAGGGACGAGUGGAGGAAGCAUCGGAGGCUCAGCAAUUAGCUCCGCCAUGCCUUUCCCAGUCUUGGCCUCAGAGUCAUCGCCUUCGGUGUCUAUCUGGUCAGUGAGCAGAAGGAUCACAAUGACAACUAGCAUACCUGCUGGAAGUGGCAAACUGAACUAUGGAAUGAGUGACUGCAAAGGAGAAGGUUGUAAAAGGUCUUCAUGGAUCACCAGCGUGACUUUUAACAGAUGCAUACAGAAAGAAAUUUCAUGCAAAUACUUCAACUUUUCCGCCCUUAAAUACCUAUCAAACCAAAUCAUCUAUCCUUAUUCUACAAAUAUUCAAGUCACGAAGGACAUCCAAGAAGUUGCGCAUGCAUAGAUUUAGUUCUUCCCAAUCUCCAAUUACUGAGAAUUGGAGGUCCACCAGAACAAUUACUUCAUCAUACAAAAGAGAAGGUUUAACCAAGUAUUUUGAUUUUGCUAUCAUUGGUAGUGGAGUUGUUGGUUUUGGCUAUGCCCUUGAAGUUGUAAAACAUGGAUCUGUACCAGUGAUUACCAAGGUUGAGUCUCAUGAGAGUAAUACAAAUUAUGCUCAAGAAGGUGUUAGUGUAGGUUGUUUCCUUCAGAUUCUAUGGAAAGUCAUAUGCAGGACACCAUUGUUGUCGGGGCUUAUCUAUGUGACGAGGAGACUGUCAAGAUAAUAAAUGCUUUUAUUAUGUUCUCCAAGUUGUCUAUACUGAAAGACCCAAUAGGAUUAAGGAAUUGAUUGCUGAUGCAUCAUUUGAUCAUGGAGAGGAUGAAAAUUUGCAUCUAGCAAGGGAAGGGGGCCACUCUCAUCAUAGGAUUGUACAUGUUGUUGAUAUGACUGGAAAGGAGAUUGAGCGAGCUCAAUUGGAAGCAGUAUUGAAGGAUCCUAACAUUACCGGGUUAUGGCUUUUUACUUAGGAUUUUCUAUUUACAAGUUUCUAAUUCUUUGUCUUGGGGUAUAGAAAGAAAUUUUCUUCAACUCAACAUGGUAGUAAUUAUAGUAUUUUCGUUCCUUUGUAUGUUUAUGCACGAAUUGUAAAUAAGUUAUUAUCAACUACAUACCUACAGCAUUGGUCACCUUCUACUCUUUUUGAUUCAAUAUUUCUUAUUGGACAACAAUUAUGAUUCAUUUUUUCGA